ACGACCGCAGGGAUAAACAGAAACCCGUUUAACUUACCAAGGUCAGCAAGCAAUGCAGUGUCUUUUAGUCCAGAUGUACUCUCUCAGGUGUUGGCGGGCAUGGUUCUGCAUAUCGCAAAUCUAAAGGAGUAAUGUGUAGGCUGUGUAGGUUAUGUAGGAAGUCACCGAGGACGUUGACUUGAAGCACGGGAGAAUGUAACCAGCACUAGUUCAGUUGCUAUGAAACAUAUGGCUUGAGAUAUGGAUUUCCAUCACAUGAGACAGAAAACAUCUGGUAAAUAAAAAAUGAAAGGACAUGGCUUCAAGAAACAACACAAGGCACAAGAACAACCUGCUUGACCCCAACCAAUUGGGCUU
Long non-coding RNA from Hypomesus transpacificus, 357 nucleotides. RefSeq lists it as uncharacterized. The record is from RefSeq and is a predicted model, not a curated record. The transcript is spliced from 3 exons. Lineage: Eukaryota; Metazoa; Chordata; Actinopteri; Osmeriformes; Osmeridae.